Molecule: long non-coding RNA, 1339 nt
Filed under: Gallus gallus (chicken)
Lineage: Eukaryota; Metazoa; Chordata; Aves; Galliformes; Phasianidae
Description: lncRNA (ENSGALG00010020062.1)
Source: RNAcentral
AGCACCGCCCGGGCCAAAGCGGCGUCGGGGGCUGCGGGCGGGGCGGGGAACGGGAGCGCGGCGAGGAGCAGAGGAGGAGGAGGAGGAAAGGUAAAAGAGGGCCGGGAGGGGGGGAAGCUCGGCUCCUCGGAGGGGUCCGCUGUCGGCGCGAACGCAGGUCGCUGCUCUACACGCGGGCACGGCGCGAGCUACGGGCACGCACCGAAGCUGAGCUUCGCCCUGACGGUGUGACCCUUCUGCUACGCGGAGAUUUGCCGGGUUUGCUUUGCAACUCGUUUUCCAUCCACGGUGCUGUUUCACCGGGGGAAGCGCGCGGUCGCAGAAAUAAACCGCUCUGGUGACAAAGCUGAAAGCCACUCUCCUAGCUGAUGACUGCAACAAACAAGGAGCAUUCGAGAAACACCACGUGCCAUGGCAGUCUGAUGCCUGCAGAAUUUCUCCUUGAGCUUUUCUGAACGUCAGCUGAAGGCUUAAGAGGUGAUGUCUGAGGAACAACCAUAAGUUGCCAAGCUGGAGCUUCCUCUAGUUCAUGUGGCCCUCAUUUACACCCAAAGAGCGAGAGGAGACCAAGGGCCGUUAAUUUUAAGACAUCUAUAAUAAAAAAAGUUAUCUCUUGUCGGCAGUGGCAGGGAAAAAAAGAUAAAAGGUGCUGUGUGGUGCGAUUGCUGGCAGAUGGCACUGUUGGGAGCCCAGAUCUUCGCGGCGCGCAGCAGCAUGGCAGGGAGGGGAUGGGGCUGCUUCCACAAUUAACCUGAACCACAGAUCUGUUUACAGCAAUCUAAUCCAUAUGUGCUAAUAUCUUGCUGCUACACGAGUGAAACUCUCUCUUGGAUUGUUCUCAGAAUGUACUUUCUGCACAUCUGGCUUCAUAUGAACAGGGCAUUUGCUUCUACUGUUCCUGCAAGGAAUACAGCAUACCUUAUUCCAUCUGGAAGCAAAACAAAAGACAGCAUUACAGUGAAAUCCUCAGUAUUGUUAUUUUCCAGAUACAAAGCUCAAGUAAUUUAAGAAUCCUUCCCUUCCCUUCCCUUCCCUUCCCUUCCCUUCCCUUCCCUUCCCUUCCCUUCCCUUCCCUUCCCUUCCCUUCCCUUCCCUUCCCUUCCCUUCCCUUCCCUUCCCUUCCCUUCCCUUCCCUUCCCUUCCCUUCCCUUUCCCCUUUCCUUUCCUUUUUUUCUUCCUUUUUUUUUCUUUUUUUUUUCUUUUUAAAUAAAAUUGUCUGUGCAACUUCUUGGCUUCUGAUUUACUUGAAAGUACAACCAUUUCAUGCAAUAUCCAAUCUAUUCAACUGACUAUCACACAUAUAGGACAAUGAAAUUACAGUCAUAAACAACUUCUUUUC